RNAcentral lists this small RNA (149 nucleotides) under uncultured Blautia sp. RNAcentral describes it as "Clostridiales-1 RNA". It matches the Rfam family "Clostridiales-1 RNA". The record is from RNAcentral. Lineage: Bacteria; Bacillati; Bacillota; Clostridia; Lachnospirales; Lachnospiraceae.
GACACCAGGGCCGAAAGGUCAUGGAUUUCAUGCUUGCAUGAAAUCCAUGAAUUUGAGGCCCGCUAAAACAUGAAAAAGGAGCCCGACAGGGCGGAUUUUGAAUGUUUUCAGGAUUUCGGGAGCCUGAAGGGCGGAGAAAUCCGUGGUGU